UCUAGCAUCACAAGUAUUAGAGGCA
Molecule: non-coding RNA, 25 nt
Filed under: Cricetulus griseus (Chinese hamster)
Lineage: Eukaryota; Metazoa; Chordata; Mammalia; Rodentia; Cricetidae
Source: RNAcentral